This 1483-nucleotide ribosomal RNA is filed under the name uncultured organism. Its description in RNAcentral is "16S ribosomal RNA". It matches the Rfam family "Bacterial small subunit ribosomal RNA". The record is from RNAcentral.
AGAGUUUGAUCAUGGCUCAGGAUGAACGCUGGCGGCGUGCUUAACACAUGCAAGUCAGGGAGAAGCUCACCUUCGGGUGAGUGGGCACCGGCGCACGGGUGAGUAACACGUGGAUAAUCUGCCCCUAUCUCAGGGAUAACGUUUGGAAACGAACGCUAAUACCUGAUGAGGCGUUUACGUCAAAGUUUCGACGGAUAGGGAUGAGUCUGCGUCUAAUUAGCUUGUUGGUGGGGUAACGGCUCACCAAGGCGACGAUUAGUAGCUGGUUUGAGAGGAUGAUCAGCCACACCGGAACUGAGACACGGUCCGGACUCCUACGGGAGGCAGCAGUGAGGAAUUUUGGGCAAUGGGGGCAACCCUGACCCAGCGACGCCGCGUGCAGGAUGACAGCCCUUCGGGUUGUAAACUGCUUUCGGGUAGGAAGAAAAGCCGGGUAUCCCGGCCGGGACAGUACUGCCAGAAGAAGCACCGGCAAACUACGUGCCAGCAGCCGCGGUAAUACGUAGGGUGCGAGCGUUAUCCGGAAUUACUGGGUAUAAAGGGUGCGUAGGCGGGCUUGUGCGUCGAUGGUUAAAGACCGGGGCUUAACUCCGGGAAUGUCAUCGAUACGGCAGGUCUUGAAUGUGAGAGAGGAUGAUGGAAUUCCUGGUGUAGCGGUGAAAUGCGUAGAUAUCAGGAGGAACACCGGUAGCGAAGGCGGUCAUCCGGCUCAUUAUUGACGCUGAGGUGCGAAAGCGUGGGUAGCGAACGGGAUUAGAGACCCCGGUAGUCCACGCCGUAAACGAUGGAUACUUGAUGUUUAGGGUUAGACCUAAGUAUCGAAGUUAACGCGAUAAGUAUCCCACCUGGGGAGUAAGGUCGCAAGACCCAAACUCAAAGGAAUUGACGGGGGCCCGCACAAGCGGUGGAACAUGUGGUUUAAUUCGAUGCAACGCGAAGAACCUUACCUGGACUUGACAUGUUAGUGUCGGGUACGUGAAAGCGUACCUCUUUACUUGCAAUUGCGCAAGUAGCACUAUCACAGGUGAUGCAUGGCUGUCGUCAGCUCGUGUCGUGAGAUGUUGGGUUAAGUCCUUAAACGAGCGCAACCCCUGUCCUUAGUUACCAUCAGGUCAAGCUGGGGACUCUAAGGAGACUGCCGAGGAUAACUCGGAGGAAGGUGGGGAUGACGUCAAGUCAGUAUGUCCCUUAUGUUCAGGGCUACACACGUGUUACAAUGGCAGGUACAAUGGGUAGCGAAGCCUAGAGGUGUAGCCAAUCCUAUAAAGCCUGUCUAAGUUCGGAUUGGAGUCUGCAACUCGACUUCAUGAAGUCGGAAUCGCUAGUAAUCGCGGAUCAGCAUGCCGCGGUGAAUAUGUUCCCGGGCCUUGUACACACCGCCCGUCACGCCAUGGAAGUCGGUGGCGCCCGAAGUUGCCAAGUGCGCAGGCACUGGUAAUGAAGGUGAGGCCGGUGACUGGGGCGAAGUCGUAACAAGGUAACC